AUUGAACGCUGGCGGCAUGCCUUACACAUGCAAGUCGAACGGCAGCACGGGAGCAAUCCUGGUGGCGAGUGGCGAACGGGUGAGUAAUAUAUCGGAACGUGCCCAGUCGUGGGGAUAACGUAGCGAAAGCUACGCUAAUACCGCAUACGAUCUAUGGAUGAAAGCGGGGGAUCGCAAGACCUCGCGCGAUUGGAGCGGCCGAUAUCAGAUUAGGUAGUUGGUGAGGUAAAGGCUCGCCAAGCCGACGAUCUGUAGCUGGUCUGAGAGGACGACCAGCCACACUGGGACUGAGACACGGCCCAGACUCCUACGGGAGGCAGCAGUGGGGAAUUUUUGGACAAUGGCGGCAAGCCUGAUCCAGCAAUA
This 366-nucleotide ribosomal RNA is filed under the name uncultured bacterium. RNAcentral describes it as "bacterial SSU rRNA". It matches the Rfam family "Bacterial small subunit ribosomal RNA", at positions 30 to 396 of the family's 1533-position model. The record is from RNAcentral.